UCUGGCUUGCCACCAGCAGUCUCGUGAGAGCAUGUAACUCACGACAGGGGUUGCGCUCGUUGCGGGACUUAACCCAACACCUCACGGCACGAGCUGACGACAGCCGUGCAGCACCUGCAGACUUCGCCCGAAGGCCACCCGGUUUCCCGGAUUGAACAGUCCAUGUCAAGCCCUGGUAAGGUUCUUCGCGUUGCAUCGAAUUAAGCCACAUACUCCACCGCUUGUGCAGGCCCCCGUCAAUUUCUUUGAGUUUUAAUCUUGCGACCGUACUCCCCAGGCGGAAUGCUUAAUGGGUUACCUACGGUACCGCAGGGGUCAAUACCCGCGACACCUAGCAUUCAUCGUUUACGGCGUGGACUAC
This 361-nucleotide unclassified non-coding RNA is filed under the name uncultured bacterium. RNAcentral describes it as "contains 16S-23S intergenic spacer region". The record is from RNAcentral.